CGCAGCCGCGGUAAUUCCAGCUCCAAUAGCGUAUAUUAAAGUUGUUGCAGUUAAAAAGCUCGUAGUUGAAUUUCGGGAUCAAUUUAUCGGUCGUACCAAUGGUAUGAACUGGUACAAUUGGUUUCUCCCUUCUGACGAAGCAUGAUGUCAUUAAUUUGGUGUCGUGGGGAAUCAGGACUGUUACUUUGAAAAAAUUAGAGUGUUUAAAGCAAGCAUUAGCUUGAAUACAUUAGCAUGGAGUAAUGAAAUAGGACGUUUGAUCCUAUUUCGUUGGUUCCUAGGAUCGACGUAAUGAUUAAUAGGGAUAGUUGGGGGCAUUAGUAUUCAAUUGUCAGAGGUGAAAUUCUUGGAUUUAUUGAAGACUAACUACUGCGAAAGCAUUUGCCAAGGAUGUUUUCAUUAAUCAAGAACGAAAGUUAGGGGAUCGAAGACGAUCAGAUACCGUCGUAGUCUUAACCAUAAACUAUGCCGACUAGGGAUCGGAUGAUGUUAAUUUUUAAUGUACUCAUUCGGCGCCUUA
Molecule: ribosomal RNA, 520 nt
Filed under: uncultured Glomus
Lineage: Eukaryota; Fungi; Glomeromycota; Glomeromycetes; Glomerales; Glomeraceae
Description: SSU rRNA
Rfam family: Eukaryotic small subunit ribosomal RNA
Source: RNAcentral